UGGGGAAUUUUGGACAAAGGGGGAAACCCUGAUCCAGCCAUCCCGCGUGUGCGAUGAAGGCCUUCGGGUUGUAAAGCACUUUUGGCAGGAAAGAAACGUCAUGGGUUAAUACCCCGUGAAACUGACGGUACCUGCAGAAUAAGCACCGGCUAACUACGUGCCAGCAGAGGCGGUAAUACGCAGGGUGCAAGCGUUAAUCGGAAUUACUGGGCGUAAAGCGUGCGCAGGCGGUUCGGAAAGAAAGAUGUGAAAUCCCAGAGCUAAACUUUGGAACUGCAUUUUUAACUACCGGGCUAGAGUGUGUCAGAGGGAGGUGGAAUUCCGCGUGUAGCAGUGAAAUGCGUAGAUAUGCGGAGGAACACCGAUGGCGAAGGCAGCCUCCUGGGAUAACACUGACGCUCAUGCACGAAAGCGUGGGGAGCAAACAGG
This 429-nucleotide ribosomal RNA is filed under the name Acidobacteriota bacterium. RNAcentral describes it as "Acidobacteria bacterium partial 16S ribosomal RNA". It matches the Rfam family "Bacterial small subunit ribosomal RNA", at positions 355 to 776 of the family's 1533-position model. The record is from RNAcentral. Lineage: Bacteria; Pseudomonadati; Acidobacteriota.